Molecule: non-coding RNA, 394 nt
Organism: Macaca mulatta (Rhesus monkey)
Lineage: Eukaryota; Metazoa; Chordata; Mammalia; Primates; Cercopithecidae
Source: RefSeq, a predicted model, not a curated record
UUCGUUGAAUGGUAUGAGAUGGACAUCAAAGCAAUGGGUGAGGAGUUGACUUGUGUCUCUUUCUCCAAAUAGGAUGAGAAGCUCUCAGGAUUGGGACUGUAUCAUAUGUGUAACACCAGCUCCCAGCACUGUGCCAGGGACAUCAUGGGCCCUCAAUCAAUACUAGAAGUGGUGAGCUUGCUAGAGAAUGGAGUUCCAUGGACGAGAGCACCUCCUGUUUGCAAACACUAUGGUAAAUAAAAAUGAAGUACUGGUUGAACAAAAAUGAAGUUCUUGGCUAGAAAAAGGUACAUAAACCAAAUUAACAAGCUUUUAUUUAAUACUUGCAUCACUUCUGUUACAUUGUUUUGAGGGUUCAGAGAAUUAAUAAACAAUAUUAUAUGCAUUUAAUUUA